AAUGAACGCUGGCGGCAGGCCUAACACAUGCAAGUCGAACGGAUCCUUCGGGACUAGUGGCGGACGGGUGAGUAACGCGUGGGAACAUACCCUUUGGUACGGAAUAGCCUCGGGAAACUGGGAGUAAUACCGUAUGUGGUCGAGAGACGAAAGAUUUAUCGCCAAAGGAUUGGCCCGCGUUGGAUUAGGUAGUUGGUGGGGUAAUGGCCUACCAAGCCGACGAUCCAUAGCUGGUUUGAGAGGAUGACCAGCCACACUGGGACUGAGACACGGCCCAGACUCCUACGGGAGGCAGCAGUGGGGAAUCUUAGACAAUGGGGGAAACCCUGAUCUAGCCAUGCCGCGUGAUCGAUGAAGGCCUUAGGGUUGUAAAGAUCUUUCAGGUGGGAAGAUAAUGACUGUACCACCAGAAGAAGCCCCGGCUAACUCCGUGCCAGCAGCCGCGGUAA
RNAcentral lists this ribosomal RNA (449 nucleotides) under uncultured bacterium. Its description in RNAcentral is "partial 16S ribosomal RNA". It matches the Rfam family "Bacterial small subunit ribosomal RNA", at positions 29 to 523 of the family's 1533-position model. The record is from RNAcentral.